This 2360-nucleotide ribosomal RNA is filed under the name Triticum aestivum (bread wheat). RNAcentral describes it as "partial small subunit ribosomal RNA". The record is from RNAcentral. Lineage: Eukaryota; Viridiplantae; Streptophyta; Magnoliopsida; Poales; Poaceae.
ACAACCCAAGCCCAUUGUCCACCUCUCACGCCACACACAAACCUAACAAAAAUCCCCGCCGCCGCCACCACCACCACCAGGCACCACCACCGUACUCUUGGCCGAUAUUGUCACGCCGCUGCCCCUCCCACCCCGGGUGACGCCUCCCGAAGCUCCCAUCCAGCUGCGCUUCCCCAGCCUGAGGUGCCGCCCAGCUGUCCACUAACCUAGCGGCGGCCGUCGCCCACUGGUUCCCUGGCAUCGCCCCUAACCUGCCAGUUGAUUUGCUCGCGCCGUCGUGUCCUCCGACCGUGAUCUGCCUCGCGACGCCACCUCCCCAGACUACGACCUGCCUUGAGCCACCACCUCCCCAGACCACAACCUACCUCGCGCCGCGACGGCCUCUGGCCACAACCUGCCUCCCGCCCCCACGACCUCCGAGGGGCCGCCCCACAGGCUGCAGCUUAGGAGACUCUCCGCUGUCCCUCUUCCACCACCGGCAACGUCUUCCCCACCCUCUCUGUCCUACCCUGUUUCCAAAUUUGGUUUUUGCAGCAGGUCUGAUCCCUUGCCUGUGCUCUCCACUUGUCCUCACUCCUUGGGCCUUCCCUUUGCUUAUCACCAUACAUUUUAUACAGAGCGGUGUCAUGAUGCAUCUCCUCUGCCUAGAUGAUGGACAGAGGGCCUAAGCUCUAGGUGAGCUCCUCCACCAAGCAAGUGUUGUAUAUUGUACGAUAUUCUGAUUGUUAAUGUCUGCAAUCUAAUGCCUUGCUCUGCAUUUUAAUUUUUAAUCUCAACAUUUCCAAUUUUACCAGUUGGAGAUUAUUUGAAUGAUUCAGUUUUGGGGGAAGAAAGCGAGGUAUAGUCGAGAAUGUAUAGUCUGCAUUGUGUAUAACUGAAAUAUGUGUAGCUUCCUAAUAUGAAAACAUGCAUGUUUACAUAUUUGUCUUUCUUUUAGCAUUGCUGAAUGAAUGAAAACAUUCACAUGACCACACAUGGCCCAAAGUUAAAACUAGGAAUUGGGUUUUCAUUUCCCUUAGAUUUGUUAAUGUUCAUCCUGUUGUCGUUUCUUCUGAAGUUUAGAAAAUUCCUUCUACUAAAUAGUUAACUCAUUUUACUAUUGUCAGCAUAAUCCAUGGAUUUGCAUUGCAAGAGAUUACUAUUUUUUUUUUUUUUGUGAUUCCUAUGUAUUUCUGGGUGUGCAUCAUUCAGGGCCGUCGAAAAGGGGGGCCAAAGUGGGCGACCACCCAGGACCCCCAAUUCUAGGGGCCCCCAAAUGCUGUUAUGUAUCAGGAUGAAAAAGGCCCAGCUUACCUGGAUCAUCCCUGAUGUACGACAUCACCGAAGCGUAGCCCAACUUCCUGUAGUUCCUACUCUGCUCCUAUCAAUGCAUUUCUUUGAUUGUUUCGGAUAGAACUAUUUUCAGGAUAGUUGCUCAUAAAAUAUUUCAAAGAUAGUUGUCCAUCCAAGUUUCAAGGUUCAUCAUUCUUUUGUUCUCAUUUCUUGAUAAGCCUAGAAUUCAUGUACUCAUGCUUUUCAGUAGAACACGAUGUUAGUUUAUUGUUUUAGCAGUACCUUCAGUACUUUAAAUUUCAUAAUUUAUGUAUUUAUAAAUUGUACGAAAUAACAAAUAAUCAAGAUAUGGAAUUAAGUGAAAGUAUACUUUAGUUGUAUUAGCUAUAUUAUUGUAAUGUUAGAGCCUCAUUUUGCAUUUCGUCCCAGGGCCUUGGCAUCAUUACAAGGAAGACAAGCUUUUCGACUCCAUCUGUAUGUGCCAGGAAAGGUGAAUCUCAGAGAUUUGUCUUGUAGACUGGUGGCAUGAUGCUACAACCAGUGUUCAAGGGGACAUGGUAAAAAGUAGCAAAUUCACAAGUUGAUGGAAGAUGUUAUCGUGAUCGCUCUUGUUCAGAACAUGGUUGACACAUUUUGUCAUAUGGAAGUUGAUGUUUGCUUGGCUGCUUUGUACCUAGGAUAUUAGCAAGCAGAAGGGCAGAAACGUAUAUGGGUCAAAUGGCAGAAAGUAAUCCCACAAGAUGAUAUAUGAUGUUCUGCUGAUCACUUUUGUUCAUAACAUGGUUGACACAUUUUCGUCAUAUGGAAGUUGAUGUUGACUUGGUGAUCAAAGACUUGGCCCCUUCCAUACUACCCCCUCCCCCCUCCUAAAAUAAGUGUCUUUGGGACGGAGGUAGUAUUUUGUAGCAGUCAAGUGAAAGAACAAUUGGUUUCUUAGGAACUUGAUCAUCAUAUUUUGUAACAGGCCACAUCCUACAUGUCAAACUUGUGUAUUUCCUAAAUGGUUGUAGAUAACUUGAGUGAAGAAAAUUAAUGGAUCUUCUAUAUAUGUUGAAUGAAUGCAUUGGCCAAUGGUAUCUUGUGAUGAG